Molecule: small nucleolar RNA, 57 nt
Organism: Geoglobus ahangari
Lineage: Archaea; Methanobacteriati; Methanobacteriota; Archaeoglobi; Archaeoglobales; Archaeoglobaceae
Rfam family: Pyrococcus C/D box small nucleolar RNA
About the family: Computational screens have identified C/D box snoRNAs in a number of archaeal genomes.
Source: Rfam
ACCGAUGAUGAGCUGAUCCGCCGCUGAGGCGGUGAUGAGGCCAGUACGGUCUGAGGU